GAUGAACGCUGGCGGCGUGCCUAAUACAUGCAAGUCGAGCGAACAGAUGAGGAGCUUGCUCCUCUGACGUUAGCGGCGGACGGGUGAGUAACACGUGGAUAACCUACCUAUAAGACUGGGAUAACUUCGGGAAACCGGAGCUAAUACCGGAUAAUAUAUUGAACCGCAUGGUUCAAUAGUGAAAGACGGUUUUGCUGUCACUUAUAGAUGGAUCCGCGCCGCAUUAGCUAGUUGGUAAGGUAACGGCUUACCAAGGCAACGAUGCGUAGCCGACCUGAGAGGGGGACGGGCGAAAGGGGGACUGAGAGACGGCACAGACGCCGACGGGAGGUAGCAGUGGGGAAUAUUGAAAAAUGGGAGGAAGCCUGAUGCAGCAAAGCCGCGUGCGGGAGGACGGCCUUAGGGUUGGAAAACGCAUUCAGCAGGGGCGAAGCUUGUGGUGACGUUACCUGAAGAAGAAGCACCGGCUAACUACGUG
Molecule: ribosomal RNA, 478 nt
Filed under: uncultured bacterium
Lineage: Bacteria
Description: partial 16S ribosomal RNA
Rfam family: Bacterial small subunit ribosomal RNA
Source: RNAcentral